UUGUAAAUAACGGCGGCGCCGAAGCUUCUAGCAGGGUUAAUACCAGUUCCGGUGAUGGGAAUAGUAGCCAAAUGAACCAUGAACACUGCAAAUCCUAUAGGCAGUGGAGCCAACACGGGUACAUGUGAAUCACGGGCACUUCUUUUAGGGUCAGUAGCUGAAAAAACAGUGUAAACAAGCACGAAUGUCCCAAUAAUCUCAGCUCCCAAAGCAGUCCCUUUGUUAUAACCAGUCGCCACCGUGUUAGCACCGCCGCCAAGGGAGUUGUAUUCACUCUUCAUGAAUGCCUUAACUAACCCAACACCACAAAUAGCACCCAAACAUUGAGCUACCAUGUAAGCCACCGCCCUUAUAAGCGACACCUUCCUAGCCAAAAACAACCCAAAUGUCACCGCCGGGUUAAUGUGACCACC
Molecule: long non-coding RNA, 413 nt
Filed under: Gossypium barbadense (sea-island cotton)
Lineage: Eukaryota; Viridiplantae; Streptophyta; Magnoliopsida; Malvales; Malvaceae
Description: long non-coding RNA (GBAR_LNC013099)
Source: RNAcentral